AUACAUACCUGGCCGGGGGAAGUCGGUGAUCAAGACGGCCGAGUCCCUAGUUGGGGUACCUCUCCUGCACUUGAGAGGGGCCCCUUCUAUGAUUGCCUUCGGGUAACUCAACGGCAUAAUUUGUGAUAGCGUGGGGUGCGCUUGUCGCGCCCUGCAU
Molecule: small nuclear RNA, 157 nt
Filed under: Badhamia polycephala
Lineage: Eukaryota; Evosea; Eumycetozoa; Physariida; Physaraceae
Description: Physarum polycephalum non-coding RNA
Rfam family: U1 spliceosomal RNA
About the family: U1 is a small nuclear RNA (snRNA) component of the spliceosome (involved in pre-mRNA splicing). Its 5' end forms complementary base pairs with the 5' splice junction, thus defining the 5' donor site of an intron.
Source: RNAcentral